This 75-nucleotide transfer RNA is filed under the name Candidatus Poribacteria bacterium. RNAcentral's name for it is "tRNA-Ala". It matches the Rfam family "tRNA". From Rfam's summary of the family: Transfer RNA (tRNA) molecules are approximately 80 nucleotides in length. Lineage: Bacteria; Candidatus Poribacteria. The record is from RNAcentral. RNAcentral also lists the same sequence under 1 other name.
GGGGCAGUAGCUCAGCGGGAGAGCGCCAGAAUCGCACUCUGGAGGUCAUGGGUUCGAGUCCCAUCUGCUCCACCA